GACGAACCGAGCAAACGUUAUUCGGAAUCACUGGGCUUAAAGGGCGCGUAGGCGGGCAUCCAAGUCUGUGGUGAAAUCCGGCAGCUUAACUGUCGAACUGCCGUGGAUACUGGGUGUCUCGAGGGAGGUAGGGGCGUGCGGAACUAUUGGUGGAGCGGUGAAAUGCGUUGAUAUCAAUAGGAACUCCGGUGGCGAAGGCAGCCCCCUGGGAUAAUAUUGACGCUCAUGCACGAAAGCGUGGGGAGCAAACAGG
This 253-nucleotide ribosomal RNA is filed under the name uncultured bacterium. RNAcentral describes it as "partial 16S ribosomal RNA". It matches the Rfam family "Bacterial small subunit ribosomal RNA", at positions 524 to 776 of the family's 1533-position model. The record is from RNAcentral.